UCUUCCGUAGUAUAAUGGUCAGUAUGUGAGCUUGUCAUCUCCAUCUGGAGAUAUCAUCGCUCGAGACCCGGGUUCAAUUCCCGGCGGGAGAG
This 92-nucleotide transfer RNA is filed under the name Cercophora newfieldiana. It matches the Rfam family "tRNA". From Rfam's summary of the family: Transfer RNA (tRNA) molecules are approximately 80 nucleotides in length. Their secondary structure includes four short double-helical elements and three loops (D, anti-codon, and T loops). The record is from Rfam by way of RNAcentral. Lineage: Eukaryota; Fungi; Ascomycota; Sordariomycetes; Sordariales; Lasiosphaeriaceae.